This 509-nucleotide ribosomal RNA is filed under the name Cyrtonus arcasi. RNAcentral's name for it is "partial 16S ribosomal RNA". The record is from RNAcentral. Lineage: Eukaryota; Metazoa; Arthropoda; Insecta; Coleoptera; Chrysomelidae.
UGUAAAAUUUUAAGGGUCGAACAGACCCAAUAUUUUAGCUCCUACACCAAAAAUUUAUUUUAAUCCAACAUCGAGGUCGCAAUCUUUUCUUUUAAUAUGAACUUUCUAAAAAAAUUACGCUGUUAUCCCUAAGGUAAUUUUAUCUUUUAAUCAAAAUUAUUGGAUCAAUUACUCAUAAAUUAAUGAUAUAAAUAAAAAAAAGUUAAUUAAAUUUUUCAAUCACCCCAACUAAAUUAUAUUUUUUAAAUAAUAAAUAAAUACUUAAAUAAUAUUUAAAAAAAAUAAUAAAACUCUAUAGGGUCUUCUCGUCUUUUAAUAAUAAUUAAGCUUUUUAACUUAAAAAUAAAAUUCUAUUUAAAUUUAAUAGAGACAGCUACUUUUUUAUUCAACCCUUCAUUCCAGUUCUUAAUUAAAAAACUAAUGAUUAUGCUACCUUAGCACGGUCAAUAUACCACGGCCAUUUAAAAUUUCAGUGGGCAGGUCAGACCUUAAAUUAUAAACAAAAGGAC